AACGAACGCUGGCGGCAGGCCUAACACAUGCAAGUCGAGCGAGGACUUCGGUCCUAGCGGCGGACGGGUGAGUAACGCGUGGGAACGUGCCCUUUGCUUCGGAAUAGCCCUGGGAAACUGGGAGUAAUAUCGGAUGAGCCCUUUGGGGGAAAGAUUUAUCGGCGAAGGAUCGGCCCGCGUUGGAUUAGGUAGUUGGUGGGGUAAUGGCCUACCAAGCCGACGAUCCAUAGCUGGUUUGAGAGGAUGAUCAGCCACACUGGGACUGAGACACGGCCCAGACUCCUACGGGAGGCAGCAGUGGGGAAUCUUAGACAAUGGGGGAAACCCUGAUCUAGCCAUGCCGCGUGAGCGAUGAAGGCCUUAGGGUUGUAAAGCUCUUUCAGCUGGGAAGAUAAUGACGGUACCAGCAGAAGAAGCCCCGGCUAACUCCGUG
Molecule: ribosomal RNA, 433 nt
Filed under: uncultured bacterium
Lineage: Bacteria
Description: partial 16S ribosomal RNA
Rfam family: Bacterial small subunit ribosomal RNA
Source: RNAcentral